Molecule: unclassified non-coding RNA, 28 nt
Filed under: dengue virus type 1
Lineage: Riboviria; Orthornavirae; Kitrinoviricota; Flasuviricetes; Amarillovirales; Flaviviridae
Description: RNA (28-MER) from Dengue virus 1 (PDB 7UME, chain A)
Source: RNAcentral
GGCCGACAAGAACAGUUUCGAAUCGGCC